Long non-coding RNA from Oryzias sinensis (Chinese medaka), 1510 nucleotides. The record is from Ensembl. NCBI's taxonomy places the organism in Eukaryota, Metazoa, Chordata, Actinopteri, Beloniformes, Adrianichthyidae.
GAUGUUGGUGCUUCUCUGUUUGAAUCAACAUCUGAUGGAGCUUCUUUUUUCUGGAGGACUGGCUCUAGUAUGGACAGGAGUGGUGGGAACAGUUUUAAUCUCUGCUCUGAUCUUCUACAUGUGGAGGCGUCAUUCACAGAAAAGGUCAUUUUGAGGGGAAUGCUGGACAUAAAAAGUAAGACUCCAUCCUUUCUAUCAGUCCUGACCUGCAAAGAUACUGCUCACCUUUUAGUCUUAAAUAGUUUCCAUCUUAACUCCAUAUUUUUUUGUUACAGAACUGAACGACCUUCAAAGAAAGAAGAGAAAACGACCAAAUACAAUCAAGGCUGUGAAUCAAAUAUUUCAAUUCAAUUUUAUUCAUUUAGCCCAAAUUCACAACAACAUUCGUCUCAAUUGGCUUUGUAUCGGUAAUUGAAAAGUAAAACCUAAAAUCAAAACUCUCAUGAACCCAGAAUUCAAUAGGACAGAACCCCAGUGCACCAUAGCUUCCCCAGCUUCAAAAUUACUAGCAGCCAACUAAUUGUUAUUGUUAAUAUUAAGUUCAAAAUUCUCUCAACACUAACUAGUCUGACAAUAAUCUGUCCACAGAGGAAUGUUUUCAGUCUAACUUUGAAUGUAGAAACUGUGUCGGCCUCUCUUCCAUGAGCUGGGAACUAAAUCCAUAAAACACGGUCUUGGUGGCUAAACGCUCUACCUCCAGCUGUACUUUUACCUAUAAGUCAUUACAAAACUGGGGUUUUUUAAUGAUGGGGUUUUUUAGGGGUUUUAUACAUUUUUUGUACCGUCUGUUAUUUUGAAACUUAAAAAUUUUGUUAUUUAAAUAAAAUGUUAAUUUGAAAAUGUAUACCGAGUACUGGUAAAUAAAAAGAUUUGUCUUAUUUUUUUUAUUUUUUUUCAAUUGUUAACUGGAUUCACAUUUCUUUAAAUGACCACUAGAUGUCCCUGUAACCCCAAAAUUAUCAGGACCUACUGAAUUAAAUAGUAGUUUUUAUUUUUAGCUAAACUGAGAAUUUCUGGUAUGUUUACACCACCUUUAAGAACAUAAAAAAAUAAGUUUUACAAUAACAUUUUAAGCGUUUUUAUUUUAAUAUAUGCUUUUACUGACUUACCUCAUAUAUAAUGAAAACCGGUUUAUGAGAAUUUCCCUUCAUUGAAAGAUAAGACAUUUUCACAAUAAUCCCAAAAGAGAGUUUAUGCCCAAAAAAAUUUCAUUUAAGAAGCUAAAACACUGACAUUCUUGAAUCACCUAAAUGCACCACAAAUGAUUCAUGGUUUCUGUCUAAAUAUAAACAUAAGAUAAGUAAGGCAGUGAAGAUGCUGGAUUUUUAAUUCAAACAUUUUAAAAUGUUUUUAGUUUUUUGUAAUGUAUUGGAUUUAAAAAUAUUAAAACUUGUUUUUUCUUCUGAAUUUUUAAAAUGUAUUUAAAGUGUAAUAGAAAUAAUUUCUCAUUUUUCAAAAAUAUUUUUUGUAUCUUUGCUUUUUGACAUAAGUUCUAUGCUUUAUGAAAUAA